Molecule: long non-coding RNA, 1372 nt
Filed under: Sus scrofa (pig)
Lineage: Eukaryota; Metazoa; Chordata; Mammalia; Artiodactyla; Suidae
Description: lncRNA (ENSSSCG00025050013.1)
Source: RNAcentral
AUGGAAUCCCAUCUUUGGGUCUCCGGCUCCCUGCCCUCCUUUCUCUCUGGGGGAUGGGAAUGGGGGGGGGCAGGGUGGAGAGCGGGGCACAGGCCACACAGCAACAUCCUUAGGGCACCCAGGGCCUCCCCCCAGGGUCCAAGGAUGAGUUCCGUAGGUGGACUAGCCCCCGCCCUGCCUCUUCCAGCCAGCAGGGGGCGUGCUGGAGACAAGACCUUUUGUUUUGGGAGAUCUUUGUUCCUUAGGAAAUUACAUCAGGCGUUAGUAAGGUCAUCACCUGUUGAACUGUGGCUAAACUGUGGUGAUUAUACUAGCUAAUAAUUUUUAAAAUGUGGUGUGUGGAGGCCUAACCCAAGUUUCUGAUUCAGUGCUUCUGGGAUGGGGGAGCCAAGAAUCUCCAUUUCUGACAAGUUCCCUGCUGUUUUGAGAUCCACGCUUUGAGAACUAGUGGUCAAACUGUUACAGGUAAUACUUUCACGGCCAGUGAUUGGCUCAGGAAUGAGCAUGUGACUCCAUUCUGACCAAUGAGUGCUAAGCAGAGGCCUGCUGGAGCCCUUCUAGGAAAGAGCGUCAUGGCUUUCUUCCUGCCUUGGGAUGCUGUGCUCUGGAUGCAAUGCCUGGAGCUGCCUCUGCCACCUGGCAGCCCUGAGGGGAGCCAUCCUGGGGCCACAGUCUGCACCCUGGGGAAGGCAGAGCCUGGGCGAGAGAGAAGCUGGGUCCUUGAGACCUUGUCGAUUAGUUGACACCAGGCUGCUCCCGGCCCUUCCCCGACAGCUCCAGCUCUGGAGACGGCAAAGUCCCUUAUUGAUAAAGCCGCAUUGAUUCAAGGUCUCUGUCACUGCAGCCAGAAAAACCUAAACCUGUUUACCAAUAUGCAAUUUGCAAAUGCUUCGACAGAUGCUAGAAUGGAAACAGACCCUGGACGUAGUCCAGCUCACCUCGGUGCUUCCCGAAGCUUUUCGUGGACCGAGCUGGGGGUGACGUCGGGAUUGAGGGUGGGAGGGAACCGGGAGCUCUCUCCGUGUGCCCAAGUUUCAAGGUUAGGAUGCCGAGUUCAAGGCACAGGGACCCCUUGACAGCCAAGGUCAGCAAGGCCUUGUGUACCUGCAGUACCCAGUGCAAAGUCUAAGUCUUUCUGGGAACAGAUGCCCCUCAGUUAUUACGGGAUCAGAGAGGAGCGGGUCUGGCUCGGGGGAGGGGACCUCUCUCCGCUCUUGUAAGCCUCCCUGGAGUGGGUGGAGGAAGCGGGGCUGCUUCCUAACCCAGGGCACGUGGGGAGACUACUUUCCAGUCUUCCAGGAGAAUUAAGAGGGAUCUACGCUCCUGGGCACGGCUUAAGGAGACAAAUAAACCCCCGGUUAUUGGAUUAGCA